RNAcentral lists this ribosomal RNA (429 nucleotides) under Acidobacteriota bacterium. RNAcentral describes it as "Acidobacteria bacterium partial 16S ribosomal RNA". It matches the Rfam family "Bacterial small subunit ribosomal RNA", at positions 355 to 776 of the family's 1533-position model. The record is from RNAcentral. Lineage: Bacteria; Pseudomonadati; Acidobacteriota.
UGGGGAAUUUUGGACAAUGGGGGAAACCCUGAUCCAGCCAUCCCGCGUGUGCGAUGAAGGCCUUCGGGUUGUAAAGCACUUUUGUCAGGAAAGAAACGUCAUGGGUUAAUACCCCGUGAAACUGACGGUACCUGCAGAAUAAGCACCGUCUAACUACGUGCCAGCAGCCGCGGUAAUACGUAGGGUGCAAGCGUUAAUCGGAAUUACUGGGCGUAAAGCGUGCGCAGGCGGUUCGGAAAGAAAGAUGUGAAAUCCCAGAGCUCAACUUUGGAACUGCAUUUUUAACUACCGGGCUAGAGUGUGUCAGAGGGAGGUGGAAUUCCGCGUGUAGCAGUGAAAUGCGGAGAUAUGCGGAGGAACACCGAUGGCGAAGGCAGCCUCCUGGGAUAACACAGACGCUCAUGCAAGAAAGCGUGGGGAGCAAACAGG